CACGUAGGGCGCAAGCGUUGUCCGGAAUUAUUGGGCGUAAAGAGCUCGUAGGCGGUCUGUUACGUCUGCUGUGAAAACCCGGGGCUUAACCCUGGGCUUGCAGUGGAUACGGGCAGACUAGAGGCAGGUAGGGGAGAAUGGAAUUCCCGGUGUAGCGGUGAAAUGCGCAGAUAUCGGGAGGAACACCCGUGGCGAAGGCGGCUCUCUGGGACGGUACUGACGCUGAGACGCGAAAGCGUGGGGAGCGAACAGG
RNAcentral lists this ribosomal RNA (253 nucleotides) under uncultured bacterium. RNAcentral describes it as "partial 16S ribosomal RNA". It matches the Rfam family "Bacterial small subunit ribosomal RNA", at positions 524 to 776 of the family's 1533-position model. The record is from RNAcentral.